This is a transfer RNA of Tropheryma whipplei str. Twist, 74 nucleotides long. It matches the Rfam family "tRNA". From Rfam's summary of the family: Transfer RNA (tRNA) molecules are approximately 80 nucleotides in length. Lineage: Bacteria; Bacillati; Actinomycetota; Actinomycetes; Micrococcales; Tropherymataceae. The record is from Rfam.
GGGGUUAUAGCUCAGAUGGUUAGAGCGCUUCACUGAUAAUGAAGAGGCCCCAGGUUCAAGUCCUGGUAACCCCA